This 453-nucleotide ribosomal RNA is filed under the name uncultured Porphyromonadaceae bacterium. RNAcentral's name for it is "partial 16S ribosomal RNA". It matches the Rfam family "Bacterial small subunit ribosomal RNA", at positions 341 to 792 of the family's 1533-position model. Lineage: Bacteria; Pseudomonadati; Bacteroidota; Bacteroidia; Bacteroidales; Porphyromonadaceae. The record is from RNAcentral.
ACGGAAGGCAGCAGUGAGGAAUAUUGGUCAAUGGGCGGAAGCCUGAACUAGCCAAGUCGCGUGAAGGAUGAAGGUUCUAUGGAUUGUAAACUUCUUUUGCCUGAGGGUAAAGGACGGUACGUGUACCGUUUUGCAAGUAUCAGGUGAAUAAGCAUCGGCUAACUCCGUGCCAGCAGCCGCGGUAAUACGGAGGAUGCGAGCGUUAUCCGGAUUUAUUGGGUUUAAAGGGUGCGUAGGCGGUUUGUUAAGUCUGUGGUAAAAGCGUGUGGCUCAACCAUACCAAGCCAUGGAAACUGGCGGACUUGAGUGUAAACGAGGUAGGCGGAAUAUCAUGUGUAGCGGUGAAAUGCUUAGAUAUGUGAUAGAACCCCGAUUGCGAAGGCAGCUUACCAGCAUACAACUGACGCUGAGGCACGAAAGCGUGGGUAUCAAACAGGAUUAGAUACCCUGGUA